RNAcentral lists this ribosomal RNA (271 nucleotides) under uncultured archaeon. RNAcentral describes it as "partial 16S ribosomal RNA". It matches the Rfam family "Archaeal small subunit ribosomal RNA", at positions 477 to 747 of the family's 1478-position model. The record is from RNAcentral.
CAGCGCCACGAGUGGGAACUACAAUUAUUGGGCCUAAAGCGUCCGUAGCCUGUUUGAUAAAUUUCUUGUGAAACUGUUAAGCUCAACUUAACAACGUGCAGGAAAGACUGUUAAACUUGGGACUGGGAGGGGUUAGAAGUAUCUUUAGGGUAACGGUAAAAUGUUAUAAUCCUAAAGAGACUACCUAUGGCGAAGGCAUCUAACCAGAACAGGUCCGACGGUGAGGGACGAAAGCUAGGGGAGCAAACCGGAUUAGAUACCCGAGUAGUCC